CGAAUACCCGCCUCAACCUAAAAGCUUGAGUCUGGUCAAACUCACAUUGAGGUUUGGUUCAAGUGUGUCCAGGAAUUUCUUGGACAUUUAAUUGACCACAAGUGGGUGUGAAACAUGAAUAAAGUUAUAGUCUACAUGAAUAUCAUUAUAGCUAACCGCCGCAGCAGCAUGGAUUGUUACUAGUAGAAAGAAUUAGCCCCUGACAGAAGGCGACGUAGGAAAAUCAUGGAGAGAGUUGUAAGGAUGUGAUACUAGAACUCUCCAGACUAGCAACAGGACCUUUGGAACACCUUGUCGAAAUUAACAGCCUAAAUGCUCAUUUAUGUGAAUGUGACCGUCGACCAUGGUUUCAUGGCCCUCUAGCUCUGUGCAAUGAUGGCUUCAAGCUCAGUGUUUUUCUCGUAGGCUUUCAACUCCUAGCCUUAAUUGAUACACUGUCUGAUAUAGCCCUCUGUGUAUGUUCUGUCCCUAACAUGUACUAGACUCGCAAGCCACUCCCUUUUCUCUGAUUGGACGGGGGCGGGAGAAAAGGGACUGGUGACUCUGGGCUACAGCUUGUGUAAAUCAGGAAUGCUAUUAAAUAUUAAUGUCACGUGCAAAUUAUCCAAUUUAUUCUGAUGCGUCAAAAGUUAAAGACACACAGAAGACAAGUAUACAGAUCUAUCUAGCCAGCCUUUUGAUUUUAUAGAUCCUUGUACCAGUGUCUGUUGUGCCACAACUUGUGGAUUAGCAUGGAACAGCUGAUGAACAUAGAAAUCUUGGCAGUCCUUCUUUGAACCGAGGAGUGGCAGCGAUUUAAGACAGCUUGUACAAGUCUGACUACUCUCAAUUCAACUGCUGCCGUCUGCCAUUAUCUGUCUUGUAUUGUACAGGUUAUUAAAAGCUUUAGGCAACCAAUGACUUUCGGCUGCCAGUUCUCAUCACGUAAAACUAAAACAAGCUAAUCUCUGCUGGUGUCUUAGAUGACUAUAUCCUAGCUGAAUGCCUGAUGAUGUUAUUACUCCAUCAUCUUCUCUUUUCUAGCACUAGCAUCCAUUCUUAAACUGUAGCUAAGAAGCCUGCGAUCACUUUUGCAGGCUACGCAAUUCUACUUAACCUCACGCAAUUUUUGGAUCACGUGGAAAAAUCAAUGAAUAAUCUCUACCCAAAUUCUGGUAGAGACACAAAAUGUGUCCCAGAGUCACCAGUCCCUUUUCUCCCGCCCCCGUCCAAUCAGAGAAAAGGGAGUGGCUUGCGAGUCUAAACAUGUACAUGCGAUGGCUUGUGGCUUUAUCACUAUGCUUGUGGGCGUGUAGUCCACUUGACUUUGCUGACUGUGCAGAACAAAGUUCAUAUGUGAGUUUGACCAGACUUAGGUUGAGGCGGGUAUUCGAGACUAGCCUCCUAGAGCUGCACAGCUCUAUACUGUACUAUGAGUAUAUUGGUACCAGGACUUCAGUGAGCAAGGUGCAGGUACUACCUGCACCUUGCUCACCGUACAGGUGCAUGGACAUUCAACAGACUCCCAUUGUUACCAAACAGCCAUUCACUCGGAUCUAAGAAACAAAGGCAACAAAGUUUGCAGCUUUAAAGCAAGUACUUCUUAGGAGCUAGCAACAGCUUCUGCCCCUGUCAAGAGAGGUGAACCAACUAUCAUCAUAUUCGUAGUGGGAGGGAUGACCUACUCUGAGAUGAGGGCGGCACGAGGCCUCCGCUGCCACCAACUGUGAGGUCAUCAUUGGCUCCACCCACAUUGUCACUCCCACUCGCUUCAUGGAUCAACUGAAGGACCUGCAACCUCUCGUGGCCACAUAGAUACUUGGGACAGUUAUUAGCUCUAUCUUAUAAAUAUAGUGUAUGUGUACAUGCGAUUGUACAGACACAAACUAUUGACUAUCAGAAAGAAUAUUUUAAGCAUGCAUGUGUGUUUUGCAAUUUUCAUUACUUCAUGCUAUAAAGAUAUGCUGUA
Molecule: long non-coding RNA, 1948 nt
Organism: Halichondria panicea
Lineage: Eukaryota; Metazoa; Porifera; Demospongiae; Suberitida; Halichondriidae
Exons: 3
Source: RefSeq, a predicted model, not a curated record